RNAcentral lists this transfer RNA (66 nucleotides) under Callipogon relictus. Its description in RNAcentral is "tRNA-Asn". The record is from RNAcentral. Lineage: Eukaryota; Metazoa; Arthropoda; Insecta; Coleoptera; Cerambycidae.
UUAAUUGAAACCAAAGUAAGAGGUAUGCCACUGUUAAUGGUAUCAAUGGGGUCCCCUCCAAUUAAA